GAUGAACGCUGACAGAAUGCUUAACACAUGCCAGUCAACUGUGGCGGACGUGUGAGUCACGCGUAAAGAACUUGCCUCACAGCUAGGGACAACAUUUGGAAACGAAUGCUAAUACCUGAUACUGUGAGAGAGCUUUGCGUCCCAUUAGCUCGUUGGAGAGGUAACGGCUCACCAAGGCGAUGAUGGGUAGCCGGCCUGAGAGGGUGAUCGGCCACAAGGGGACUGAGACACGGCCCGUAAUCCUACGGGAGGCAGCAGUGGGGAAUAUUGGACAAUGGACCAAAGUAUGAUCCAGCAAUUCUGUGUGAACGAGGAAGUUUUCGGAAUGUAAAGUGCUAUCAGUUGGGAAGCGGUACCAACAGAAGAAGUGACGGCUAAAUACGUGCCAGCAGCCGCGGUAAUAC
Molecule: ribosomal RNA, 404 nt
Filed under: uncultured bacterium
Lineage: Bacteria
Description: partial 16S ribosomal RNA
Rfam family: Bacterial small subunit ribosomal RNA
Source: RNAcentral